AACUUUUUGCAACGUAUCUCUUGGUUCUGGCAUCGGUUAAGAACGCAGCGAAAUGCGAUAAGUAAUGCGAAUUGCAGAAUUCCAGUGAGUCAUCGAAUCUUUGAACGCACAUUGCGCCCUUUGGUAUUCCGAAGGGCAUGCCUGUUCGAGCGUCAUUAUCACCCCUCAAGCCCCGUGCUUGGUGUUGGACGGCCGGUCGAGCGAUCGACCUCUCCUAAAGACAAUGACGGCGGCCUGUGGUUCCCCCGGUACACUGAGCUUUUAACGGAGCACGUACCGGACCAGGGCACCCGGGACCCGGUCCUCUCCUUUCACUAGGAAACUUCUAAGGUUGACCUCGGAUCAGGUAGGAAUACGCGCUGAACUUAAGCAUAUCAAUAAGCGGAGGCU
RNAcentral lists this unclassified non-coding RNA (390 nucleotides) under uncultured Herpotrichiellaceae. Its description in RNAcentral is "sequence contains ITS2". The stretch from base 1 to 155 matches the Rfam family "5.8S ribosomal RNA". Lineage: Eukaryota; Fungi; Ascomycota; Eurotiomycetes; Chaetothyriales; Herpotrichiellaceae. The record is from RNAcentral.